AAGUCCAUGGUAUGGAUAUUUUCUUAGCAAAUGCCUAAACAUUUCCCAAUCUUCAUGCAAUGAUUCACCAUCUUGUUGGCUAAAACUAGUAAUGUCUGUUCUAAACUU
Small nucleolar RNA from Coffea eugenioides, 108 nucleotides. The record is from RefSeq and is a predicted model, not a curated record. Lineage: Eukaryota; Viridiplantae; Streptophyta; Magnoliopsida; Gentianales; Rubiaceae.